This 468-nucleotide ribosomal RNA is filed under the name uncultured bacterium. Its description in RNAcentral is "partial 16S ribosomal RNA". It matches the Rfam family "Bacterial small subunit ribosomal RNA", at positions 28 to 507 of the family's 1533-position model. The record is from RNAcentral.
GACGAACGCUGGCGGCGUGCUUAACACAUGCAAGUCGAACGGAAAGGCCCUGCUUUUGUGGGGUGCUCGAGUGGCGAACGGGUGAGUAACACGUGAGUAACCUGCCCUUGACUUUGGGAUAACUUCAGGAAACUGGGGCUAAUACCGGAUAGGAGCUCCUGCUGCAUGGUGGGGGUUGGAAAGUUUCGGCGGUUGGGGAUGGACUCGCGGCUUAUCAGCUUGUUGGUGGGGUAGUGGCUUACCAAGGCCUUGACGGGUAGCCGGCCUGAGAGGGUGACCGGCCACAUUGGGACUGAGAUACAGCCCAGACUCCUACGGGAGGCAGCAGUGGGGAAUAUUGCACAAUGGGCGGAAGCCUGAUGCAGCAACGCCGCGUGCGGGAUGACGGCCUUCGGGUUGUAAACCGCUUUCGCCUGUGACGAAGCGUGAGUGACGGUAAUGGGUAAAGAAGCACCGGCUAACUACGUG